Molecule: ribosomal RNA, 429 nt
Filed under: Bacteroidota bacterium
Lineage: Bacteria; Pseudomonadati; Bacteroidota
Description: Bacteroidetes bacterium partial 16S ribosomal RNA
Rfam family: Bacterial small subunit ribosomal RNA
Source: RNAcentral
UAGGGAAUCUUCCGCAAUGGACGCAAGUCUGACGGAGCAACGCCGCGUGAGUGAAGAAGGAUUUCGGUUCGUAAAACUCUGUUGUUAGAGAAGAACAGCGCAUAGAGUAACUGUUAUGCGUGUGACGGUAUCUAACCAGAAAGCCACGGCUAACUACGUGCCAGCAGCCGCGGUAAUACGUAGGUGGCAAGCGUUGUCCGGAUUUAUUGGGCGUAAAGGGAGCGCAGGCGGUCAAUUAAGUCUGAUGUGAAAGCCCCCGGCUCAACCGGGGAGGGUCAUUGGAAACUGGUUGACUUGAGUGCAGAAGAGGAGAGUGGAAUUCCAUGUGUAGCGGUGAAAUGCGUAGAUAUAUGGAGGAACACCAGUGGCGAAGGCGACUCUCUGGUCUGUAACUGACGCUGAGGCUCGAAAGCGUGGGGAGCGAACAGG